This 119-nucleotide small nucleolar RNA is filed under the name Propithecus coquereli (Coquerel's sifaka). Its description in RNAcentral is "Small nucleolar RNA SNORA32 (ENSPCOG00000010837.1)". It matches the Rfam family "Small nucleolar RNA SNORA32". From Rfam's summary of the family: ACA32 is a member of the H/ACA class of snoRNA that guide the sites of modification of uridines to pseudouridines. Lineage: Eukaryota; Metazoa; Chordata; Mammalia; Primates; Indriidae. The record is from Rfam by way of RNAcentral.
UGGUCAUUAGCAAGGCUUUUAGAAUGCUGUUUCUCAUUUGCUGUGGACAUGACAUAAAAAACUUCCCACUAGGUUUUCUAUCUGCUACUUUGCUAGCAAUCAGCCUAUUGGGAACAUUU